UCGCUUGACUUAUCAAAGAAGGUCCAAGGGGGCAGGGGUGUAAAUUGGCUGGUUGGCAUAACAACUAGCCAUGUGCGUAGGGGUAGAGUGGGGAAAUCGUUGGGUUGUGUAACAACCCAACAAAUGCAUAACAAAAUUCGGUUGAGGAGGAGGGUGGGGAAUAUGUAGAGGGUGAAGAAGUUAGCAGGGGGUGUAGAGAAUUUUUGGUAUUGAGUCUGAGGGAGAGUUAAGGGCCUCUUGAAUGCCCAAAAUUUUCCUUCUAACUUGAUUGAAGUGAGCAAAUUUGAAUUUAGUCUUUGUGAUUUUUCUUUGGGUUCCCAUCAAAAUGAUGCACUUUGCCUUGCUAUUAACUAGUAAUAGCCUUUUCACUGACUCUUAGUGAAACCAAGGCCCUUAACUCUUAACGGUGUGCCCCAUUAACACUUAGUGGUCUCCCAUAAGAUUGGAUCUCUCUGGUUAACAUUUAACUGAAACCAUCAACAUUAACUCUUUAAUGAAGAUGAACUCAUUUAUAGCAAUGGAUCACUAAUCGGCACAACACUUGAUAUGCGUGUGACUUUCUAGGUCCAUAGCCAUGUAGCAAUCAAAACAUGUCAACUCUGAAGAAAUCUCCUUUUGAAAGAAUAAUCCUUUGUAUAUAAUUCCCUUGAGAAUGCCACAAAUAUAUGCACAGUGGAUUCUAAGAAUUCUCCUAAAUUUUAGAAAUUAGAUUCCUACUUUUUUAGGACUAGAUUACAAUAACCUUAAAUACAAACAAAUCUAAUAAAAGAGAAAGAUAAGAUAUAACAACAAGAUAAAUCAAGAUAAAUUACAAAGAAUAAAUCAGAUGAUAAAGAGCUUAGUAGCUCGGCAACUCGACCAUUAGCUCGACAGCUUGGCCUUCUCAGUUCGACCUUUUAUUAGCUUGGCCUCAUCAGCUCGGUAGCUCGGCCUUCCAUUAGUUUGGCCUCGGCAGCUCGGCCUUCCAACAAUUUCCACACUCCCCCUCAAGCUAGGUUGAAUAUGUUAUUCAAGCCAAGCUUGCAACUCAAUUCAUCGAAUAUUCUUCUAGACAGAGCUUUAGUGAGAAUGUCAGCCACUUGGUUACUAGUAGGAGUGUAGAUCAGCUUGAAUACUCCCUCUUCCAGUUUUUCUUUGAUAAAGUGUCUGUCAAUCUCCACAUGUUUAGUCCGGUCAUGAUGAACCGGAUUUUUAGCAAUCCUGAUGGCAGAUUGGUUGUCACACACACAACACCUGUACUGGUUCUGUUGUAUCUAUUUUCAACUCUUAGAGUAGUAUUUUCAGCCAAAUCCAUGAGCCAUUGCUCUAAAUUUGGCCUCUGCUGAAAGGAAAGCAAGAUCGCUACGGGGCAAGCAGCGUAGUUCAAAAAUUUUGAACCUUACCCCGAUCUCAGCAAUUGUUUCAACGUCGAAAUCAAAUCAUUCACAAACAAAUAAAUAAAUCUAACAUUUAGAUUAUCGAGUCGUUCGCGGAUUCGAGCCGUCCAAGCGUCCGGCCUCUAACUCUUGAUACGUGGCACGCGUCCGUUGGCAAGGAGAGCGGAAUAUGAGUGCUAGCUCCUUCUUCUUUGCACGACUUGUGUAUGGACGGAAAAAGAACACCCUCGUUUCGUAUUGAUGCCAAAAGAAACGGGAAAGAGUGAGCGGCAAUACGUUUUUUUUCAACUCUUUAAAAAUGACACAAAAAAUCCCUGUAGUUUGGGCAACCCAUAAAUGGGUAUUUAUAAGGAGCUCUAGGGUUUCUUAAACCCUAAUGGAUAUGGGCCGACCCAUUUAAUUUAGUCCAAUUAGAAACUUAAAUUAAAUCGGUUUAUUUUAGUCCAACUAGGAUUAUAAUUAAAUGGCUCAAUCCUUUUAUAGGUUUAAAUAUAAUAUUUUGGCCCAAAUCUAAUUCAAGCCCAAAUAUAAUAUUUAAUAUUUGGCCCAAAUUCAAUUUAGUCUAAAUAUAAUAUUUAAUUUAAUAUUUGACCCAAAUCCAAUUUAGUCCAAAUAUUAACUUAAGCCCAAGUAUAUUUUAUUUCCUAUUUGCCACUCCAACAAAUAGAAAAUUAUUAAAUUAGAAAUUCCUUCAUAAUUUAAUCAAUUGCCAUUUUAGGAAACUCUUUCUAUUAUGACGACUCCUCGUCAUAUCGAUGUCAUUACGUCUAUUUGUUUUUUUUUCGUGAGAACCUAUGACGGCACAACUUAUUGCCGAAGUGUCUCACUUAACCAUACGUCCACUCUCCUGGUUUAAGCUAGGGACCGUGCCUAUUGCGUAUGACUCAUUAGGCUUCCGAAUAUGUUGGCAAUGUGUCGGUACGAACACAUAAGACAAGAUUAGCCUCUAGUAAGGCAUCAUGCCUAUCCAAUUAUUCAGAAGGAUUCAUAAUCUGCAAAUAACCUUUCACGAGCAUGGUUACUGUGUAAUACGAUCCUCUCGUCAAUGUAUCUUAUGUGAUCUCAAGUAUGGCGAUGUGUUGCUUGAUAACGAUCACAUGAGUUUUUUUCGGUCUUCUGGAUAUCUUCACUUAAUAGAAAGUGAAUCAAUAACUCCUUAUUGAUCUCUUUCACUAUGGCCAUGGAUUUAAAGUGAAUAUCCACCGAAGGUGCUUUAGAUACAUCAUCCUCUAUCAAGGGAUAGACGAGUCCCAUCUUGGCUAUGCACCCAUCUCCAUAAGCCUCACGAUAUACCCAACGAUCGCCCACGUGCAGCCUUUGUCUAGGCCCAUCAAAACGAUGUCAAAGCAUACCGGUUUUCUUAUGAGAUGACCGUGACAACCUCAGAUCCAAGGAUUAGUUACACCCAUCUCGUAUGAGAAUUCCAUCAACAUAUAACCAAAAUGGAUUCUCAUGGCGAGUCAUGUCCAGUAACAUAUUCUGUAACAUUGGUCACCUAUGUACUUGUCUAGACAUCCUCAUACCUAUGGGUGUGAGACCCCCAUUGCUAUCACAUAGCAAAAACAUAGCACAUACAAGUCUUAUCGCAAUUGUCAAUGUCCAUUCUUGACAUUGCUACGACUUGGGACGUUUAAUGAUGUCUAGAAACUGUGAUGUAUCAUCUCACAUCUUUAUAGAUUAAUCACAAUAUACAUCAUAUGGAUUUCUAUCUAGUUUCAUUUGGUUAUUACAAUAAUAACAAGAAACUAAUAGAAUGAAUUCUUGUGAAUUUGAACAACUCCUUAUUCAAAUAAUAAACAUGAUUACAAUUGUCAGUGUACAACAUGCCCAAUCUGACUGGGUCUAGAGCACCUACACUAACAUCUGCACUACUUCUAGAUACAACCGACUGCUUCUUGCUGCGUCAGGUCACUAGAUUUCCCCAUACAAAUGAUCAAUACCCUGAAGUUGACCUUCUAUCAAGAAUUGAACCAGCCCAAUCAGCAUCUGUAUAGAUUGUGAUUCCUCGAUUUGCUGUUUUUCUGAAUAUUAACCCCUUGCUUGGAGUUGAUUUUAAGUACCUUAGGAUGCGGUAAACUGCUUCCAAGUGUUCCUCUUUGGGAUCAUUCAUGAAUUGACUUACAACACUAACAGAGAAUCCAAUAUCUGGUCUAGUAUGUCUACUAACCUUUGAUACCUUCCUUUGUCAACUGGAUUAUUUUCUUUGCCAAUGUCCAAUUUUGCUUUAGAUUCCAUAGGAGUUUCAGCUAGUUUACAACCCAACAUUCCUGUUUCCUUAAGGAGAUCCAAGAUAUACUUCAUUUGUGUGACUGAAAUUCCCUCUUUGGAUCUUGCAACCUCCAUGCCUAAUAAGUAUCUUAAAUUCCCUAAGUCUUUGAUCUCAAAUUCUCUUGCAAGUACUUCUUUAAGGCUUUUGAUUUCAGUAAUGUCAUCCCCUGUAACAAUGAUAUCAUCCACAUAUACAAUGAGAAUAGUCAAUUUACCUUCCAAGGACCGUUUGAUGAAUAAAGUGUGGUCAUUAAAUCCAUGCUUCUUAACUGCCCUUGUAAACCUCUCAAACCAGGCUCUUGUGGAUUGUUUAAGUCCAUAGAGUGAUCUCCUUAGCUUGCAAACUUUGUUCUUUGUAAGUUUAGUCUCAAAUCCAUGAGAAAUCUCCAUGUAAACUUCCUCUUCUAGAUCUCCAUUUAAGAAAGCAUUCUUCACAUUUAACUGAUGUAGAGGUCAAUCCAAAUUUGUUGUUAGGGACAGCAAAACUCUGAUGGUAUUCAACUUUGCUACAGGAGCAAAUGUUUUUUGGUAGUCAAUACCAUAAGCUUGGGUGAAGCUCUUUGCCACUAACCGAGCCUUGAAUAUGUCGAUCUCUCCAUCUUCCUUAUAUUUUACUAUGAAAACCCACUUGCAGCUCACAGGAUUUUUCUCGAGAGGCAAGUCAGUGAUAUCCCACGUUUCAUUUUUUCUCCAAGGAACAGCCUCCUUCCAUCUAGGGUGCUGAAGAGCCUCUUGGAUAUUGUUAGGAAUUUGCACUUUGUCUACAUUUGAAACAAACUCACUGAAUUUUGGUGAGAGACCCUUGUAUGAGAUAUAAUUUUGUAGAGGAUGUUUUGUGCAUGCUCUCACACCCUUCUUCAAGGCAAUAGGCCAAUGUAAAUCCUCAUCAUCAAUAGAAACAGUAACAGUAUCCUCACCAGCUAUAUUUCUACCUCUUUCUACCGGUGAUUUCGGCUCAGCCUCUUGAACAGUCCCGGGGGCAUGUUGGAGCCUUAUUCUCCUUAGGUUUGGACUGUCUUCUAGAGUAAACCUGCAGUUCAGUGACAGUAGAGGCAGGUGUCACGACCCCAAGGAACCCCAAGGAUAUAUUAGUAAUACAUGUCAUUUAUUUUCCUUAUUAGUUGCAUUAGUUGCAUUUUAUGUUGUUGUUGUUAGCAUCUUCACUUGUAAGCCUAUAAAUAGGCUUGAGUAGUUAGAGAAAUGAGCUUAAUGAAUGAUUUGAAUCUCAAUUCCCUCUCUCAAUACUCUCCCACGACUUUUCUCUCUCUUUCCCUCAACAGACCCUUUCUGCUCUUCCUUUCUCUUAAUUCUUAUCCAAAUUCCUUCCUAGACCCUAGCUAAACCCGAGGGUCCUGACAUUUGGUAUCAGAGCUCCUGUUCCUCGGCUACGCCUUUCUUUGUUGCUUCUCGGAAUUAGAAGGCGACUUUAAUAAUUGAAUUCAGAAACAUAAUAGUUGAUCGAGCGGUGACUUGUGUGAUUCCGUGUAGCAAAGGCGAUUCCAUACAGCGAAUUCCGAAGGUUGAUUUUUAGAAUUGGAAGGUUGUUGUGAUCGAAAGGAAAGCCUUCAACGAUUGAGAUCACUGUUCAGAGGUAAUUUUCGCAAGUGGCAAUUUAAGUGAUCUUUUCUAGAAGCAAAUUCCAUAAGCGGUAUCAGCAGAGCUCAGCGAAUCGUAGAAGCAAGUUCCAAAGCUGACUCAGGAGAUUUCCGAACGAAUUGGAUUUCAAUUGUCAAAAUUGAUAGCGGUGAGUGUCAGCUCGGAUUUGAAGGAGAAGUAGGCGGAUUAGCUCGGCUAGGAUUUUGGUGAUUUUGUUCAGAAUUGAGGAUGAGCAAGCUAGGUGAUUCAAGGAGCAAUGAAUUUCGAAGAAUUGAAGUAGAGCAUUGAGCGAAUCAAGAAUUGAGGACAAUUCCUAUCAGAGGUCGGUGAUUGGGUAAGUGGACGCAGGCUUGGGCGAUUACCAUAAGAAUCCAAGCAAAGUUGGAAUCCGCAAUGAAUCUGAUAUAGAACAGGAGGAUCAUGAUCUGCAUGCGGCCAUAGGCUAUUGCUCUCAGUGACGAAAUCAAAUCAAGUAAGGAGGAGUUACGCAGCGGAAGUUGCUUCAAAAGCAAGACGGUGGAUGGUGAUUGGGUGCCGACUCCGCUGGGGCUAGCCUUAAAUCAGUUUGAUUCCAGCAAAUUCGCUGCAUGUGAGUGAGGCGAAAUGCAGGAGUGGUCGGGAAUGGAAUUUCAGAUUUAAGUUGUUGCAUGUGAAGGGCGAGUCAACGAAAUUGAGAGCCGGCGGCUUGAAUUGUGAACUCGAACUCAGGGGGAAGUUGAUUGUUCGUUGGCUAGAACUUAGACGGACAUCUGUUGAGACAAAAUUCUCAAGUGAACUGUAGAAGCCUGCCAUUUCUUGAAAACUGAUCGAAGCUGUUUAGGUCAGAGAUUUUCGGAAGUAAGUGCGCAACAGAAGUUCGAUUUUAGUGUUGCACCACAGAAGUAAUUGCGAAGGGGAAGUGUGGGGUUCAAAAGUUGCAUGGCAGGUUUCUGAAAUGGCUUAGAACAGGUUGUCUGAAACCGUUCAGAGCUAGUAGAUUGUUUGAAGUGGACUCGGCAAUGGAUUUGGAGGCUAUUGAUCAUUUUAAGAAGUUGAAAUUUGGAAGGUGACAGUCCUUAGCUACUCCAUCGUAACUAAGGCGGUGGUUUAGGCUGAGUUGGAAGCUGAUAGUAGGCUGACUUGAAGGCUGAACAACCUGAUCAAAUUUCGGAAAUUGAUUUGGAGGCCAUUCAGCAGCAACUAAAAAGAUGAUUUAGAUCUAGGCUACUGUUAGGGCAAUGUCUAAAGCGGAUUAAGGUUGCUGAAUUGGAAGCAUCAAUUACAUUGGCUUGGGUUGCUGAUUUUUAGUCCCAGAAUCAAUUUCCGAAGAGAUCCUUAGAAGCUGAGCAAGAGGUUGUUACAGCAGUGAAUUUUCAAGGAAUUGGAUGGAGGAGAUGGCUGAUGGACUAUGUGCUGCAACAAGGGAAGGGGAGGUCAGGUGGACUGACUUUGCUAAAGAUCUAUGUGACCAAUUUGGGAAGAAGAACAUGAUUGAUGUGAUUGAGGAGUUUAACAAGCUUAAGCAGGAAGGAUCAAUGACUAAAUAUCAAAAGAGGUUUGAAGAAUUAAGGGCAUUGAUGUGGAGCUUUCAGCUAGCCUUGUCAGAACAUUACUUUGUAUCAAGAUUCAUUAAUGGUCUUGACGAUGCUUUAAAACUCAGUGUGAAAAUGUUUUGCCCUACUAGGGUGGAACAAGCUGCGAAGAAAGCGAGGCUGCAAGAAUUGGCACUAGAAGCCAUUUGUAGAAAGCAUGGACUGCCACCGGAAAGUUAUCGUAAGAGCAGCUCGCAAGUUUGUAAAGGACCAUAUGUAGCUAAAGGAGCUUAAACGGAAAAAUCCGAGCUGGAACUACUUAACGACAGUUCUAAGGAAGCUGAUAUUGAAGUUGUUGAAGGAAAAAAUGCAAUCGAUGAAGACUUAGACCAAAGGAAAAAGCAGAAGGCUGAGGACUUGCAUAGUACUGCAGUUGUUGAGAACAACCAUGUGGUUCAAAAGAUGAGGAAAAAGGAGGUUGCUGUCACACGAUUUAUAAGUUCGAAUAUUGGAGAAGGGAUAGUUGACAUGGAGGUCCAGGAAGUCUCUAUUAAAGAUAAGGAAGGAGAAGAGGUUGUGAAGAAGGGAGAGGAUAUGACUACAUCAACCUCGAAGUUUGAAGAUUACAAUGAAAAUUUUGUUGAGGGGAACAUAACUCUUGCUGUUUUGUUUAUUCCUCUUUCAAUUGGAGCGCUGCAACGCCGAAUCAGAUUUUGGCCUACAACAAAGUUGGAAUUCCUUUCUAUGAUUGGAAAUGAUAUGGUUGCAGCUAUAACGGAUCAAUUGGAACCAUUCUCAAUGGAAAUCAGAAUGAGGGGGAUGGCUGGACUUGCUGUUGCAGCAAGUCAUAGUACUGAUGUUUUGGAAGAAAAAGACACAAAAAGGCAACAGAAAAGGAAGAUAUGAGAUAAGCACAAAAAAAGGCGAAGAAGAAACCAGAUUGCUAAGGUUGGAAUCGGCUAAGGAAUGGGGCUAAUAACUAUCAAUUCUUGGGGACAAGAAUUGUUUGAAGGGGUGGGAAUUGUCACGACCCCAAGGAACCCCAAGGAUAUAUUAGUAAUACAUGUCAUGUAUUUUCCUUAUUAGUUGCAUUUUAUGUUGUUGUUGUUAGCAUCUUCACUUGUAAGCCUAUAAAUAGGUUUGAGUAGUUAGAGAAAGAAGCUUAAUGAAUGAUUUGAAUCUUAAUACUCUCCCACAGCUUUUCUCUCUCUUUCCCUCAGUUCUGUUAUGUUAUUCCUUUCCCUCCCUUUCUGCUCUUCCUUCCUCUUAAUUCUUAUCUAAAUUCCUUCCUAGACCCUAGUUAAACCCGAGGGUCAUGACAGUAGGAAAUUCCUUGGUAGGAGAAGGAGAAUGGCUGGUAGAGGUGUUAGAUUCAGGUUCCUCGGUCUCCUCAGGUUCUUAACAGUCAAUAGAAUCCCAAAACUGAUAUUCUAAGGAAGUAUCUUGCUCCCCUGAAUAUCAGUUUUGUGAUAAUAGGGCUGAUUUUUAAUAAAUGUGACAUCCAUGGAGGUGAAGAAUUUUUGAAGUUCAGGAGAGUAGCAUUUAUACCCUUUUUGAUGAAGAGAGUAGCCUAGAAAUAUGCAUUUGAGAGACCGAGGCUCAAGCUUGCUUCUCAUAUGAUUAUGCACAUGAACAAAUGCACAACAAUUGAAAAUUUUGAGGGGAAGAUGUGAAAGGAUCCGUGUGUGAGGAAAGGAAGUAAGAAGAAGGUGACGAGGGGUUUGAUGCUUUAGGAUUCGUGAGGGCAUUCUAUUGAUUAGAUAGGUGGCCAUUAGAAUAGCCUCACCCCAAAAAUGAGAAGGAACAUGUUAGAAUUUGUUUAGUAUAGCUGUAAGUUUCUGUAAAAUGGCAGAUAUGUUUGUAAGGAAAUGUUUCCCUCUUAUGUUUUAUGUGUUUAAAAUGUAACGGAAAUGCCUCUUGGGUUAUUUCCGGUUAAGUCAUGUAUUUUCCUUAUAUUUACAUAUUAGUCAUUUUAAGUUGUAACCGCCUCUAUCUUUUAUAAAUAGAGGCGGGUAGGUUCUGUGAGGGAUAGCAGCAAGAGAGAGAAUUCAUAUGUUGUAUUCGCACAUAAGAGUUGGAGAAUAGAGAGAGAGCCAGUGCUCGGUCCUUUGUUUUCUUGAGAGAGGCUAUAGAUUAAUAGCCUAAGUGUGUGCGAGGAAGAGACCAAGGAAGAAGUGUUGUAAUCUUGUUCUUUGAUAGUGGAUUCUGUCGGCAUCAUCUGGUAGUCUGGAUGUAGGGCAAUUUCUUGCCUGAACCAGGAUAAGUCUUCUUGUUCUUCAUUGUUUUUAUUUUGCAUUUUAAUCUAUUUUACUUUUCUUUUAGUUUCUAUCUCUAUCGGGUGAGAAUUUGGGUGAGAGAGAGGUUUUAAUUGUGUGAGGAUUAGAUCCAAAACUCAACAGAACAUUAGUAGAGAACAAUAGGGAUCUCGCAACUUCCAAUAAGUGUCGGUUCUUUCGUUCUGCAACCCCAUUUUGUUGGGGGUAUCAACACAAGUGCUUUGGUGUAUUAUGCCUUGUUGGGAAAGAUAAUGACCAAGGAUAGAAUUGAAGUAUUCUUUGCCAUUAUCUGUUCUCAAGAUCUGAAUUUUGGCAUUGAAUUGUCUUUGCACCAUUGAAUGAAAAGUUUGAAAGAUAGAACCAGUUUCAUAUUUUUCUUUCAUAAGAAAUACCCACGUUAAGCGUUAAGCGAGUAUGAUUAUCAAUAAAUGAUAUGAACCAACGAGCCCCAAUAAUGUUUCUAACAUCGCUAUGAAUCAAGGAGAAAGGCGAAGAUGGAGUAUAAACUUGGCUGGGAUAAGUGUUUCGUAUAUGUUUAGAGAAUUGAUAGAUUUCACAUUGUAACAAAUGGGGAUCUUUAUUCUUGAACAAUGAGGGAAACAAUUUCUGAAGAUAAACAAAAUUAGGAUGACCCAAUCCAUAGUGCCAUAACAUGAUAGCACCAUCAUUGGAAUGAAAAUUAGAUAAAUAAACAACUGGUUUAAGAGAAGAAUAGUUGCUGGAUUGAACAACUUUAUUGCUAGAAGAAGUCUUUUUAAGGAUGUAGAGGCCCGAACAUGCUUCAGCACUGCCAAUCGUCCUCCUCGAACUUUGGUCCUGAAAUUCACACAAAUUUUGUGAGAAUUUAACCAUACAAUUACAAUCAGUAGAUAAUUUGCUUACUGAUAUUAAGUUGCAGUCUAAAUUUGGCACCAAGAGAAUUGAUUUUAGGGUUAAAUCAUUUGAAAUUGCCACCAUUCCAAUUCCAGCUACCUUUGAUAGUGAACUAUGAAGAAAUCUCCUUUUGAAAGAAUAAUCCUUAGUAUAUAAUUCCCUUGAGAAUGCCACAAAUAUAUACACAGUGGAUUCUAAGAAUUCUCAUAAAUUUUAGAGAUUAGAUUUCUACUUUUUAGGACUAGAUUACAACAAUCUUAAAUACAAACAAAUCUAAUAAAAGGGAAAGAUAAGAUAUAACAGCAAGAUAAAUCAAGAUAAAUCACAGAUAAUAAAUCAGGUGAUAAAGAGCUUAAUAGCUCGGCAACUCGGCCAUUAGCUUGACAGCUUGGCCUUCCAUUAGCUCGGCAGCUCGGCCUUCCAUCUGCUUGGUAGCUCGGCCUCAGCAGCUCGGCCUUCCAUCAGCUCGGCAGCUCAGCCUUCCAACAAUUUCCACAAACUCCUUGAUGCCAGUCGAACACUUCAACCUACUAAAAGGAUCUCUCCAAAUCCCCAGAGCAUCUUAAAAGAUCUUGAGUAUUCCCUAGUUAAGACUCAGGACGAUCCCAAUGGCAAUGAAGUGUGAACUUCAGAUGAACCCAUUAAGGUUCUUUGAUUACUGUGCACUUUAAUCUUUCCACUGAUUAAGAUCCCAACUAAGUGAGUCAUGGAUUGACUAAACUCACAAGACUCGAUAACUAUGACAGAUCUAGUACGAUAUGGUCAAGGUAGCAUUUCGGAACAACUUUCGACAUCGGGAACACAUUUCCGAUCAUGCUCUCCUUGGCUAGGGGUUUACCAACCACAACUAACUUAGACCACAUGGGAUGUUCACCCCCAUUUGAUGGAGGGCAAUGGAUUCCAUCAGCGAACAUCUGCCUCUACACAACUAUGCACAAGACAACUAUGUCGUCUGGACAGUUUCGUUCAACGGCAAAUCUCCGACACCGAUGCGCAAGACAACUAUGUCGUCUUUGGUUAGAGGACCAAAUACACAAUCAAAAACCAGUAACAGAUCAUCAAUCACAAAGCCAUGUGAUAUGUCGCAGGCGUCACAUUCAAUAUAUGUUCAACUAGCAUCUACCCACAUGUCUACUAUCUACAUUUCAUGCAAGAUGGUAUAUGACUUACCACCGUACUCAUUAGCAUCUCAUGCUAAAUAUUAGUAGUAGCACACAUGCUGGUCUGUAAUAGAUAAAUUAUAUUCCCCUUUUGAUAAAUCUUAGGGCCAUAAAUUCCUUUAAGAAAUCUUAAGCUAGAAAUCUGUGUCAUAUCAUUCUUAACACUUAAAAAUUAGAUCUCUACUAGGAAUUCUAGGGACUCAUUCAUAAAUAAAAACGGAGAGUAUGAAUGAAGAUAUGACUUUAUAUAUAUGAAACAUAUAUUAUACAAGAUAACAUUAUUAGUGCCAUUCACAUACAUCAGAUGUAGUGCAAAUCUAGCAUUUAGGGCACUGACACUAACACAACUGAGACUGUAGUAUUCGUCUGCUACAGUUGUGACUUGAAGUGUGUCAUGUGUGUUCUGUUAGCCAUGGCCAAAAUCUCACGAGUAGGAGAAGUCGUCAAGGAACUACUCGAUAACCUCCUAUGACUCAAUUAGUACUGUUAUAGCCUCCAGAAAUUGCAUUACAAGAACUGCCUUUGAACUGAUUCUAGUCUAAUCGAACUUGAAUUUUAUUUUUAGUAAACCUAAUCUACCUUGUUUGAAAUUGCUUCCAGAAAUUACUUAGAUCUAACCUCAACAAUCCUGAAUUCACCUGUCAUAGUUGGAAUUGAGAAAUCGGUAGCCUGACUCUACGCCCUAAAUUGCCUCUUGCGUCUCGAUCAAUUUCGAGAUUGCUUGCUCUGAUUUUCCAUCAAAGAAUCAGCUACUCUGCUCAAUUAUGAUGUCAGAUUGGAAUUAUGGUAUUGCCUAAAUCACCAUGUAGUGGCCAAUAAUUGUUGACUCUGAGUUGUCUUCAAAUUUAAGCUGAAAAUGAGCAGAAGUUGAAGGUCAUGUAACAAGAGUUUUGUGAAGUCGGAUCGAAAUUACUGCAAGGAAUCGCCUAUCAACAGUCGUGAUCAACUGGUUCUGCUUUGCCUUCAAUUCUGAGCUGAGAAUCACAAUCGGAAUUGUCGAACCAGCUUUGCCUUCAAAAUUUGUAAAGGAGCUUUGGGUUGUUGCUGAGAUCACCUGGCUCGUUUCAUUUGAUCUACUACUGGAAUCCACAGCCGGAAAUCGUUGGCUCGGUUCGUUGGAUCUACUACUGGAAUCCACAGUUGGCAAUCGUCGAAAUCACAUCCUCAACAAUUGAGAACCAUUGGAAUCACAACCAGAAAUAGUUGAAAUCACAUCCAAGAAUUGUUGGUUCUGAUACCAAUUUGUCAUGAACGUAGGGUUUAUCUAGGGUUUUGAUAGGAAGAUGGAAGAAUCCGAGGGAAAUAGAACAGGAAGUAAGGGGGAAAAUCAGAAGAAAUAAGGGAGAUAUCAGAAGAAUAGGAGGAAGAUAUUUGGACAGAACAGCAAAAGAGGGAGAGAUUAGAGAGAAAUCAAAGGGAGAUUGGGUGAGAAUUGAUGAGAGAGAAAUCAGAAAUUCUAUUUAUCAUUCAACUAUAUGAUUUCUCUAACUAAUACAAGGCUAUUUGUUGGCUGUUAUUUAUAGUCUGUUAACUGUAAGGUACAAGCAUGAACAACUACCUAGAGUAUAAUAUAGUAAAUGCAUUUAAACUAACUACUAUUAUAUCCUUGGGGUCUUGACACAAUUUUAAGUCUUAUCACCUUGAUUCUAGUUGGUUUUUCUAUUGUUGCAACAUGGUGAAGAACAACCCCUUUCAAUGCUACAGAAGCCAGCAGUGCAAAAACAAGGGGAUAAUAGAGAUGAACCACAUGCAAUACGAAGUAAAUAAACAGCUUUGAAUCUUUGAACAAUAGUUUUCUCACAAGUGUUGGAGCAGCUGGAACUCAAACUAAAUGACAGUUUGGUAAAAUUUCAACUGCACUUCACAAGAACAAAAGACACAUUUAACUCCAUAAAAAAUUAAAGCCAUGUGAAGGUCAUGUUAAAAGGAAGGUAACCAUGCGCAAUGUGGCUCUGCUAUAUGAUUCAACAAUUCACAAACACUAAUCAAUUGUAACAGAUUUUCAGAAUAAAAAUGUUAAAAAAAUGGCAAAAACUAAUUGAGGAAGUAGAAGAAAGUGGUGGGGUCUUCUUGGCAUCCAAUUUCGUCCCCUUACAAACCGUAAUUUCCCCUCAAUUUUUUGCGUUGAAUACCUCCUUCUCUUCCUCUCCCUUAUUCAUUUCCCCUUCAGAUUGUCAUGUGAUUUUUAAUUUUGCUUUAAUUUUGCUGUGAUAUGUUUGUUACAUCUAAGGGGUAGUCAUGUGCAAGUGGUUAUAACAAUAGAAGGGUGUAGAAGUUGAGUAGUUAUACCCAUAGAAGGGUGUAAAAGAUGCCUUGGCAGGAAUCCUCCCUUCCGGUAGCUUGUAUAAAACCCCAUUGAUCCUCUCGGAUUGGGGCAUUGAGGAAUUAAUGAGAAUUUCAUCUCCUCCUUACUAAUCUCUCUCUCGCCUUCUCGCUAUUUCUCUGUUUUGCUUCUUGUAUCUUCCUAAUUCACAUUGAAUUAGGAGGAAUUCAUUGUUAGGCUUAAGUUGUGACAAUUUUGGUAUUAGAGCUCGAUUCUCGGUCGUAAUCCUUGAAUAUCAAGAUCGAUGACAGAGCAAGUUCGUAUGAAAAACUUCGAGUCAUAGCUGCAACAAUUCAACUCGACUAUAACUGAAUUCUAGAACAAAAUCAACUUGUUGGAGAUCGUAUCUACUCGAAAUCAUGAGGUGAUCAUGGUGAUAGAUCGCAAGUUGGAUAGUUCCAUGGAAGGAUUGGAACGGAGGUUGGAUGGGGCCAUUUAAUAGAUUUAGGAGGAGAUGGGGGUACAAUUUAGGGACCAGAUCUUCAACAGUUCAUGGUGAUGUUCACUCACUAGAACUCGGUAAGAAUCUCUCCUGACUUUCCUCCUAGGGAGAGAACAGAUCCUAUCUUACUUGGACAUAGGAUGAACUAUUGGAUGACAAAGACCUUUGAAAUUGAGGUGGAUCUGGGAGAGGAAGUAAUGGAUAGGGGACGGGAGGGCCAUGCCACCCACAAUCAAUUGGGGUUUCCUAUGCCCCUGAAGGAGAUCGCAGUGGUUGAAGGGAUUAAAUCCUAGAUGGUGGUUAAGAAAAUGUGAACAAUUAUUUAAUUGGUACAACAUACCAAAGGGGUAGAGGGUAGCCUUGGCCACAUCAUACUUUAACGAUAUAGGGGAUGUUUGGUUUCAAGGGUGGUCUAGAGUAAGAGGAGAUUGUAUAUGGGGGGAGUUUGCUAAAAAGCUUUGUGAAAGGUUUGGUGAGAGGACCAUGAUGGAUGUGAUAGAGGAAUUCAACAAACUCAGGUAGUGUGGGGAAGUGAGAUUUUAUUGGCUUAGGUUUGAGAAACUGAGAUCACUCAUGAUCAAUCACAAUCCUCAUCUAUCAGAGGCUUAUUUUAUGUUCAACUUUAUGAGCGGUUUGAGCAAUGAGCUUUGACCAAUGGUCAAAAUGUUGCAGCCCUGUACGGUGGAGCAGGCAGCCGAGAGUGCCAGGUUGCAGGAGAUGGUGGUGGAGGCUUUGGUGAGGAAGCAAAGGCAACAACUGAGGGGAGUGAUUAUGGGAACAACAUCAUAGGGAGGUAAGGGUUAUAAUAAGGAGUUGGUUAAAGGGAGUUCAGGGGUAAAGAGUUUGGGUGGUCCAAGCUUUGGUCACACCAUGCCACCACAAGGGGGGAGGCUAAUUGAGCAGAGGAGGCAGGUUGGGUUAUGCUUUAGGUGUGGGGAUAAGUAUUAUUAUGGUCACCAAUGCAAAUGGCAAUUGCUACUUCUAGAAGGUGAGGAUGGAGAGUUGAUUGAGGAAAGGGAAACUAGUGAGCUUGGUGAAUAUAGAUGAAUACAAUGGGGGAGAUUUCCAUACAUGCCUUGAAGGGAUUAACAAAUAACAAGAUUAUCAAGGUGGAAGGGUAAAGGACUGCAGCCUCAUGAUCUUGAUAGACAGUGGGAGUACCCACAAUUUCCUAAAUGAUGGAACAGCCAGGAGAUUGAAAUGUCAACUCAUGGGUACACAACCCUUGAGUGUGACAUUGGCCUAUGGAAACAGGGUAGUGAGCAAAUCGGCAUGUACGGGCUUCUGUUGGGAAAUGUAGGGGGAGGAAUUUAAAGUUGAUUUGAGACUCCUACAGUUGGGAGGUUGUGACAUUGUGUUGGGAGUAGAUUGGAUGAAAGGAGUGAACUCCAUACGUUUUGACUUUAAUAGAAUGGAGGUUUCCAUUGAGAAAGAAGGGAGGAAAAUGACCCUUACAGGGGGAAACGAGGCUGGGGUUUGUAAGAUAAUUACGGGAAGGAAACUACAUAAGGUGUUCAGGAAACUACAUAAGGUGUUCUGGAGUAAGUGGGCUUAGAUUACAUAGUUGUUCUCUAUUGAAGCAGUAGAGGAAGCUAGUGACUGCAAUGCAGUGCAAGGAGAAUUCCUCCUAACUGUUAGUACACCUAUGGGAAGACAAGAUGAGGUACACAAUCUAGAAUUACUUGAUAAAUUGUCGGUUGAAUUUGAGGAUCUUUUGUGGAACCUACAACCCUACUGCCUACUCGAAUGUUUGACCAUUCCAUCAAUCUCAAACCUAAUGCUGAACCCAUUAACAUUAGAUCAUACCAUUAUCCCCCAAACCAAAAGACAGAAAUUGAAAGAAUGGUUCAGGAGAUGCUACACCGAGCCAUAAUUAGACCUAGCCAAAGUCCUUUUGCUUCACCCUUUUGCUUGUCAAGGAAAAGGACAGAUUAUGGCAUUUUUGUGUGGAUUAUCGCCAACUUAAUGCCAUGACCGUUAAAGGCAAAUUCCCUAUACCCCUUGCUGAAGACCUUCUAGAUGAAUUACAUCAUGCUAGCUUCUUCUCUAAACUUGACCUACGCUCGGGAUAUAACCAGAUUAGAAUGAAACUUGAGGAUAUUCCUAAAAUCGCUUUUUGAACACACCAAGGCUACUAUGAAUUCUUGGUGAUGUCAUUUGGGCUCACCAAUACACCAACCACCUUUCAUGCUCUUAUGAAUCAUGUCUUUGAGCCUUAUGAAAAUUUAUAUUGGUUUUCUUUGAUGAUAUACUUGUUUAUAACCUUACAUUUGAUCAACACCUGAUUCACCUAAGAACUACCUUCGAGGUCCUCAGGUCUAACUAACUCUAUAUCAAAAGGUCUAAGUAUGCUUUUGGCAUGGGCAAGUGGAGUAUUUGGGGCACAUAAUAUCGGUGGAAGGGGUGAGUACAAAUCCAAGAUAGGUGGAAGCCAUGAUUGUUGGGCCUAAGCCUAUUAUGGUGAAGGCAUUGAAAGGGUUCCUUGGGUUAACCAGUAUUACUACUGGUUUGUGAAGAAUUAUGGGGUGAUCAGUAGACCCUUAACAGAGCUUUUAAAGAAGAAUGGGUUCAGUUUGGGGGGGGGGGGGGCAAGAAGCAGAGGAUGCCUUUGAGAAACUAAAGGAGGCUAUGAGUAAGGUUCUUGUCCUUGGUUUGCCAAACUUUAGCAAACCUUUCAUUCUGGAGACAGACGCGUGUGGGAUAGGGAUUGAGGCAGUUUUGAUGCAAGAGGGAAGGCCAUUGGCAUUUUUAAGCCAAGCCCUAGGCCCUAGACCCUAGACCCUAGACAUAUGGGGUUAAGUAUUUAUGAGAAGGAAUUCCUAGUUGUAUUGAUGGCAAUUGAGAAGUGAAGACAUUAUUUGGAGAGGGGCUGAUUCAUAAUUAGAAUUGAUCACGGGAGUUUGAAAUUUAUGUUGCAACAGAAAUUGCAUACUCAAUUGCAAAAGAAAGGGAUGGCCAAACUAAUGGUUCUAGACUAUAUUAUACAAUACAAGAAGGGUAGGGAAAAUGUAAUAGCAGAUUUCCUUUCAAGGUGUCAUGAAGAAGGAAGCUUAGCAGCUAUAACCACUAUAGUUCCUGAGUUGUGUCAAGACGUAAUGGCUAGCUAUGAGGGGGAUGAGAAGGUGAAGGAGUUGGAGCAAUUGGUAGUGGGUUCAAAUGGGAAGGAAGGGUAUGCUUUGGUGGGAGGAUUGAUAAGGUAUCAAGGAAGAAUUGUGAUUGGGAACAAUGAGGCACUCGAAAGGAAGAUCCUAUAGGCCCUACACGAAUCACUCUUGGGGGGACAUUCUAGAAUCCAGAAUACCUACCAUCGAGUGAGGCAACUCUUCUAUUGACCUAGGCUUAAGACCAAGGUGAAAGAGUUUGUAUUGGCUUGUGACAACUGUAAAAGGUGUAAGUAUGAAACCGUGGCCUACAUAAGACUCUUACAACCCCUACCCAUUCUUGCCCAAGCACCGUGGCCUACCCAGGACUUUACAACCCCUAUCCAUUCCUGCCCAAGCAGUGGUCAGUAUAUCUAUGGACUUCAUUGAGGGAUUGCCUAAGUCAGAAGAGAAGGACAGUGUAUUGGAGGUGGUUGAUCGAUUUACAAAGUUUGCCCAUUUCAUAGGGCUCACACAUCCCUAUAUUGCCCAAGAGGUGGCUAGGAUCUUCCUAGAUCAAGUGGUUAAAUUAGUCUAUAGUGUUAGAUUGUGACAAAAUAUUGACUAGCUUAUUGUGGUAGGAGUUAAUGAAGGCCUUAGGCACCAACAUGAACAUGUCCACAGCCUAUCGCCUACAAUCAGAUGGGCAAACAGAAAGGGUAAAUCAAAGUUUGGAGACUUUCUUAAGUUGUCUUUGUUUCUUACAACCCAAGGGGUGGCAUAGGUCCCUCUAACUGUCACAUUUUGAGGCCUUAUUUGGAUACAAACCACCUAUCUUGCUAGCUAUUGGACAGUACACUACUGUCGCAACAUUGGAGGAGUAUUUAUGGCAGAGGAAGAAGGUGUUGCAACGACUGAAGGAGUUAGCUUCAACCAAAUAUAGAAUGAAACAAUUUGCUGAUCGAAAAAGGAGUGAAAGGGAGUUUUCAGUAGGGGAGAAGUGUAUUUGAGCCUGAGGUAUCCUCAUCUUAAGUCCAUCACACAAGGACCGGUGUCUAAACUAAGCCCACGGUAUUAUGGGCCAUUUCCAAUAGUUGCCAAGAUUGGGAGGGUGGCUUAUCAUUUACAGUUGCCUGAGAGUUCACAAGUCCACCCUAUGUUCUGCAUUUCUC
Molecule: long non-coding RNA, 18077 nt
Organism: Diospyros lotus (date-plum)
Lineage: Eukaryota; Viridiplantae; Streptophyta; Magnoliopsida; Ericales; Ebenaceae
Exons: 2
Source: RefSeq, a predicted model, not a curated record